GUGAACGCUGGCGGUAGGCCUAACACAUGCAAGUCGAACGGCAGCACAGUAAGAGCUUGCUCUUACGGGUGGCGAGUGGCGGACGGGUGAGGAAUACAUCGGAAUCUACUUUUUCGUGGGGGAUAACGUAGGGAAACUUACGCUAAUACCGCAUACGACCUACGGGUGAAAGCAGGGGAUCUUCGGACCUUGCGCGAUUGAAUGAGCCGAUGUCGGAUUAGCUAGUUGGCGGGGUAAAGGCCCACCAAGGCGACGAUCCGUAGCUGGUCUGAGAGGAUGAUCAGCCACACUGGAACUGAGACACGGUCCAGACUCCUACGGGAGGAAGCAGUGGGGAAUAUUGGACAAAGGGCGCAAGCCUGAUCCAGCCAUACCGCGUGGGUGAAGAAGGCCUUCGGGUUGUAAAGCCCUUUUGUUGGGAAAGAAAAGCAGCAGGUUAAUACCCCGCUGUUCUGACGGUACCCAAAGAAUAAGCACCGGCUAACUUCGUG
RNAcentral lists this ribosomal RNA (491 nucleotides) under uncultured bacterium. RNAcentral's name for it is "partial 16S ribosomal RNA". It matches the Rfam family "Bacterial small subunit ribosomal RNA", at positions 29 to 507 of the family's 1533-position model. The record is from RNAcentral.